GACGAACGCUUGCGGCGUGCCUAAGAAAUGCAAGUCGAGCGAGGCUAUCCCGAGCAAUCGGGAGAAACCUAGCGGCGAACGGUCGAGUAACACGUAGGCAACCUGCCCUGAAGCGGGGGAUAGCCCACCGAAAGGUGGAUUAAUACCGCAUGUGGUUAUGUUUGGGCAUCCUUACAUAACUAAAGCAGCAAUGCACUUCAGGAUGGGCUUGCGGCCUAUCAGCUAGUUGGUGAGGUAACGGCCCACCAAGGCGACGACGGGUAGCUGGUCUGAGAGGAUGGUCAGCCGGACUGGGACUUGGACACGGCCCAGACUCCUACGGGGGGCAGCAAUUAGGAAUCUUGCGCAAUGGGCGAAAGCCUGACGCAGCGACGCCGCGUGAGGGAUGACGGCCUUCGGGUUGUAAACCUCUUUUAAGAGGGAAGAAGCAAGUGACGGUACCUCUUGAAUAAGCCCCGGCUAACUACGUGCCAGCAGCCGCCGUAA
Molecule: ribosomal RNA, 486 nt
Filed under: uncultured bacterium
Lineage: Bacteria
Description: partial 16S ribosomal RNA
Rfam family: Bacterial small subunit ribosomal RNA
Source: RNAcentral